GAUGAACGCUGGCGGCGUGCCUAAUACAUGCAAGUCGAGCGAACGGACGAGAAGCUUGCUUUUCUGAUGUUAGCGGCGGACGGGUGAGUAACACGUGGAUAACCUACCUAUAAGACUGGGAUAACUUCGGGAAACCGGAGCUAAUACCGGAUAAUAUUUUGAACCGCAUGGUUCAAAAGUGAAAGACGGUCUUGCUGUCACUUAUAGAUGGAUCCGCGCUGCAUUAGCUAGUUGGUAAGGUAACGGCUUACCAAGGCAACGAUGCAUAGCCGACCUGAGAGGGUGAUCGGCCACGCUGGAACUGAGACACGGUACAGACUCCUACGGGAGGCAGCAGUAGGGAAUCUUCCGCAAUGGGCGAAAGCCUGACGGAGCAACGCCGCGUGAGUGAUGAAGGUCUUCGGAUCGUAAAACUCUGUUAUUAGGGAAGAACAUAUGUGUAAGUAACUGUGCACAUCUUGACGGUACCUAAUCAGAAAGCCACGGCUAACUACGUG
RNAcentral lists this ribosomal RNA (497 nucleotides) under uncultured bacterium. RNAcentral's name for it is "partial 16S ribosomal RNA". It matches the Rfam family "Bacterial small subunit ribosomal RNA", at positions 28 to 507 of the family's 1533-position model. The record is from RNAcentral.